RNAcentral lists this ribosomal RNA (253 nucleotides) under uncultured bacterium. RNAcentral describes it as "partial 16S ribosomal RNA". It matches the Rfam family "Bacterial small subunit ribosomal RNA", at positions 524 to 776 of the family's 1533-position model. The record is from RNAcentral.
UACAGAGGUCUCAAGCGUUGUUCGGAUUCAUUGGGCGUAAAGGGUGCGUAGGUGGCGAGGUUAGUCAGGUGUGAAAUCUCGGGGCUCAACCCCGAAACUGCACUUGAUACUGCCUUGCUAGAGUACUGGAGAGGAGAUUGGAAUUUACGGUGUAGCAGUGAAAUGCGUAGAUAUCGUAAGGAAGACCAGUGGCGAAGGCGAAUCUCUGGACAGUUCCUGACACUGAGACACGAAGGCCAGGGGAGCAAACGGG